RNAcentral lists this long non-coding RNA (1118 nucleotides) under Dromaius novaehollandiae (emu). RNAcentral's name for it is "lncRNA (ENSDNVG00000005499.1)". Lineage: Eukaryota; Metazoa; Chordata; Aves; Casuariiformes; Dromaiidae. The record is from RNAcentral.
ACAUAUAAUCAUGCACUGGCAUACAAAAUAGAUGUUUCAUCAUUUCUUAGAUAUAAAAUAUAUAUACAAAUAUUCUGUUAAAAUCUUUUUUUUUAAGACUGCUAUACACAUGUUUACCUCUGUAGUUGUGUAAGGAAGCAGCAUAUCUCCAAAAGACCAACUGGCCAAUGUUCCCAUUCUCCCUCAAAUGAAUAUUUUCACUUUUUUAUUAUUUUUUUAAAAUAAUAUUUACAUUACUGUUACACAAGAGGCACUGAGAAAACACAGAGGUACUUAUACAAAAAUAAAUACGCCAUACUGAAUUUUAAAAGUCAGGAAUUACAGGUUUUGUUACUAGAACUGUAGUUGGCUCAGCUCCAUAAUAAAUAAUCAAUUUUUAGUUUGGGACAGGUUACUGGUGUAAUUCCAUUCAACCAAAACCCUUACUGUAACUUGGCUGCCUGGGUAAACUUUAAACAGGGUACCAACUCUCUAAGUAUAUAGAGGAUAACCACACUGCAGAAUUAUUUCCCAUUUAGAAUGACAAAACCGUGGUUUACAGGUAAUUCAGCUUAAAUUUCCUGUCUGAGGCAAGAAGAAGCUAUUUAUUCUUUCAGGUUUAAGUUAUUCUUUCAGAUCUGUACAUUGGAAGCUUUUUUAUAACUUAUGCUAAAGCCACUCAGUGCAAUUUUCUGUAUAUCUUUACCUACAUGGCUUGUAUAUUCAUAAAAAUUUUUGGUCCUUUUGCGCAGUUUCAGGGAUGCAAUCUCAAUGUAAAUAAGAAUCAGACCUUGGAAUCUGGAGUGAUCUGGGCAAAUUAGUCUGUGGAAUGGAAGAGUGAUCAUAUACCAUAUCCACUAUAUCUUUCUGAAAAAUUGGAUCACUGAUCUUAGCCUUUUCUUAUGGCCAAAACGGCAUUCAACAUAUGACUGCAAAUGCUUCUUUUCAACUCCAGAUAACGGCUCAUUGGUAUGUGACUGCAAUGAGAUAGUUGCAAGAUGGGGCAAGGGAUUGACACAGUGUGAGUGUGCAGGGGACCCCAGUCACUGACGCUCCAGGACAGAAGGUAUGGUUGCUUCUGCUGUAUAAAGCAAAGUAUAUGGGUGCUUUUCUGGCAGCUUUGAUGGCAAGGUGGUAAC